GACCGCCUCUACCGUAGCGCUCAGGGCCGGCUCUAGCCUUUUGGGGCACCCCACCUCGUGGAAAAAAAAAACAUUUUAGUGCCCCCUCUGUUGACUGCGGAGAAAAAUGAUCAAGAUCUGCCCAUCUGUGCAACACCCAGAAAAUAAUGAGGCCAUCGAAUGUGCAAAGAACGGGGCCGAGAAGCUAGCCUAGUGUUGGCUAGCUAGCUACAGUCUGACCCACAGGUUCCCACAAGGUCUCCGACUCCAGGAUGGGAAGAUGCUUACAGGAAAGAAACGGAUGAAGACAGAGUCGGAGACAGAGUAAUAUUAAAAAGGGAAGAAAAACACAAUCCCAUUUUCUAAAUUAGCCAUCUAAGGUAUUCACCAUAAUAUAGGUUACAGAUUUGAGUCACCACUCGAAUAGUUAUUUUAUGUUAUUGACUAGGCCUAUACAGUGCAUUCGGAAAGUAUUCAGACCCCUUGCCCUUUUCCACAUUUUGUUACGUUACAGCCUUAUUCUAAAAUUGAUUAUAUAAAAAAACUCAACAACCUACACACAAUGCACUAUUAUGACAAAGCAAAAAUAGAUUUUUAGAAAAUGUAUUAAAAAUAAAAACUGAAAUAUUACAUUUACAUAAGUAUUCAGACCCUUUAUCAGUACUUUGUUGAAGCACCUUUGGCAGCCUAAUGUCUUCUUGGGUAUGACACUACAAGCUUGGCACACCUGUAUCCGGGGAGAUUCUCCAAGUCUUCUCUGCAGAUCCUCUCAAGCUCCCUACAAGUCGGAUGGGGAGCGUCGCUGCACAACAAUUUUUACGUUUCUCCAGAGAUGUUCGAUUGGGUUCAAGUCCGGGCUCUGGCUGGGCCACUCAAGGACAUUCAGAGACUGAAUGUUGUCCUGGAUGUGAGCUUAGGGUCGUUGUCCUGUUGGAAGGAGAACCUUCACGCCAAUCUGACAUAUUGAGCACUCUGGAGCAGGUUUCCAUCAUUGCAGGAUCUCUCUGUACUUUGCUCCGUUCAUAUGGGGCUGCAGGUAGCCUAGUGGAUAGAACGUUGAGCUAGUACCCGGAAGGUUGCAAGAUCGAAUCCCUGAGCUGACAAGGCAAACAUCUGUCAUUCUGCCCCUGAUCAAAGCAGUUAACCCACUGUUCCUUGGACAUCAUUGAAAAUAAGAAUUUGUUCUUAACUGACUUGCCUAGUUAAAUAAAUAGAAAUAUCUCCCUUGAUCAUGACUAAUCUCCCAGUCCUUGCUGCUGAAAAACAUCCCCACAGCAUGAUACUACCACCACCACGCUUCAUCGUAGGGAUGGUGCCAGGUUUCCCUCCAGACGUGACACUUGGCAUUCAGGCCAAAGAGUUUCAUCAGACAAGAGAAUCUUGUUUCUCAUGGUCUGAGAGUCCUUUAGGUGCCUUUUGGCAAACUUGAUGCGUUGUCCUUCUGGAAGGUUCUCCCAUCUCCACAAAUGAACUCUGAAGCUCUGUCAGAGUGACCUUCGGGUUCUUGGUCACCUCCCUGACCAAGCCCCUUCUCCCCCGAUUGUUCAGUUUGGCCGGGCGUCCAGCUCUAGGAAGAAUCUUGGUGGUUCCCAACUUCUCCCCUGACAGAAUGAUGGAGGCCUCCCUGACCAAGCCCCUUCUCCCCUGACUAAAUGAUGGAGGCCUCUGUGUUCUUGGGGACCUGCUUCUGUUUUUUCUUUUUUUAUACAUUUGCAAAAAUUUCCAAAAGCCUGUUUUCGAUUUGUCAUUAUGGGUCAUUGUGUGUAGAUUGAUAAGGAAAAUACAUAUUUUUAUUCAUUUUAGAAUAAGGCUGUAAUGUAACACAAUUUGGAAAAAGUUAAGGGGUCUGAACACUUUUCGAAUGCGUUGUAGAUUUGUUAAAUCUAAUUAAUCAAAUCAUUAAUCUAACAAUAAAAAUAAUAAUAAUUUUGUAAGAAACAAUGUUGACUAAAUUAUUUUGCUCAUCUUUUGUUUGUAGGUAUUUUAACUUGAUAAUGUGUAAUAAGUAAAUAUAUAGAAAUUGCU
Molecule: long non-coding RNA, 2004 nt
Organism: Oncorhynchus tshawytscha (Chinook salmon)
Lineage: Eukaryota; Metazoa; Chordata; Actinopteri; Salmoniformes; Salmonidae
Source: Ensembl